Zophobas morio is the source of this 762-nucleotide long non-coding RNA. RefSeq lists it as uncharacterized. Lineage: Eukaryota; Metazoa; Arthropoda; Insecta; Coleoptera; Tenebrionidae. The record is from RefSeq and is a predicted model, not a curated record. The transcript is spliced from 2 exons.
CACCCCUUACCGUUCUUAAUACUUAAUAUACUAUUACGCGCUUGUCUCUAAAAACGUGCCAUUUCGAAAUUAAAAUGACAAUCAAAAUGUCCACCUUAGAUAAGUUGGUAGCGAUUGUAAAAAAAAAACAAUUUUUGGAUUGCAACUCUGUGGUUAAAAAUGAAUGUUUGUUUGUCCCGUAAGCGUUCGUAAGCCAUUCAUCCGACUGCCCUGAAAUUUUGUGCUGCAAUUGAGAAGCAAACGUACAGUGUAAAUUUGUGAAAAAAUGUUAAGCAAAACCACUGCACUUCACAUAAACUGCAGGAUAUAAUAUCUUCGUGCCGAAUGCACACAAACCACAACAAAUAAACUUAACCUCAAAAAGAGGGGGUAGUUGAAAUUAUGAAAAGAAAACGUACCUCUAUAUUCCUUCUCAACACUUUCAGAAAACCAAAUUCAGGGACUAAACUAUUAAACAGAAAUACGUAUCUCUGCAAGUGCUAAGCUGUUUAAACUCUAACGGCAACAGCAUGUCACGAACAACACAACCAUAGAACAAGCAGGCGACGGAACAAACCAAGAACACAACCAUAGAACAUAACCAGAGAACCACAACACAGUAGAUCAGUAACGAAACUUCAGCAAUAUUUGCGGAACGGGUGUGACCUUGGGAGCCCGUUCCCGGGAAACACGAAGAUUCAAAUAUUUCGUAGCAUUCGUAUGUGAUUCAUAUAAUACUAAUAAUUGUACACAAAAAUAAAAAUGGUUGGCAUGUACUAGUGA